This 75-nucleotide small nucleolar RNA is filed under the name Castor canadensis (American beaver). RNAcentral describes it as "Small nucleolar RNA SNORD113/SNORD114 family (ENSCCNG00000001397.1)". It matches the Rfam family "Small nucleolar RNA SNORD113/SNORD114 family". From Rfam's summary of the family: The imprinted human domain at 14q32 contains two clusters of tandemly repeated small nucleolar RNAs named 14q(I) and 14q(II) snoRNAs. These two clusters are named SNORD113 and SNORD114 respectively in the HGNC approved gene symbol nomenclature. The record is from Rfam by way of RNAcentral. Lineage: Eukaryota; Metazoa; Chordata; Mammalia; Rodentia; Castoridae.
GGGACCAAUGAUGACAAAUGAUGGCGUGUGAGUCAUAUAUGAUGAGCACCAUGUGUCUGAAACUCUGAGGUCCAA